GGAAGUGUUUACAUAGUGUCUUUCUGGGGCUUGUUAGCCAGGCCGUUGUGGAGAGAGCUGUGGGUCUGAACUCAAGUGCUUUUGGCAGUUGCCCACCCUAUUUGACUAGAUGUGGCUUAAUUAGGAUCAGACAAAACUUUGUAAACAAGUUAAGGUAGCUUUUGUGUUCCUUAUCAGGAGCUGAAGCAGGAAAUGAAAGAUCAAGAGGGAACCCAAGCAGAUACGCUAUUGUCUGGGACGCUGGUCUGGAAGUCUGAUCCUGCCCAUGGAGACACAAACGGCCCUCACUGUGGCUCCAGGGCCCCCACCCACACCAGGCAUUACACCAACACCAAAGGGUCAGGGUGAGCUGUAAAGUCAUUUAACGGGGUGCUGCAUGCGAGGGUGGUGUAAACCUGUGAACCCUGUGGCCCAGCUCAGCGCUCCUGUUCCCAGACCAUUUGUUCACAAAUGCAAUCCCGCUUUUUCCGGUGGCAUGAGAGCUUCACCUUGAGACUGAGAAUAAGACGGUGAGCCCUGUUUGUGUAAGCUGACCUGUAUGUUAAACAAUCUCUUACUGAUAUAAAUGUACUUCUCUACAGACACUUUCCCUGUUAAAAUUGUAUUUAUUUCAAAGCUACUCACUUUCAGUGUUUAUUGUCAUAAAUGUGACAAACUGUAAAUGUUGUUACAGAUCAGCACACACACACACACGACCAGCGAUGGCCGAUCUAAUGUUUGCCUGAAUGUGGCCUGUUUCGGCUCGGAGCACCUCUCUUCGGUUUAGGUUUCCUUUAGGGACUCGGCGAGACCCACAGCGUCAGACCCCAUUCAGUCUAUUGUUAAUCGAGAGCGUCUACAAUCAAAGUGUGGAGUGUUUGGGUCAGAAGCCUCGGCGAUUGAGGGCUACCCCAGGGGCAAGAGCGUGGCCCCCAGAGACACCGCACAGCUCUGAGGUUUCACCUGGGGACUCGAGCGCUUCGAGAGCUAAUGACCCACUCCAGAAAUAUUUGCUUGAUUGAGUGUGUGGUUGACUUUUCUCAUAUUGAUCCACAGGUGAGGUCUUCUGUUUCACUUAUAAACUACCAGCUCAUUUAUCAACCUUGUUCUGCAAUUAAAGUGAAAUUGUAGUAGUAGAUCAUUCAUUUGUUUGUUUGUUCCUCCAUCCGUCAAAAAUGGUAGCAUUGCAUGUCUGUUACCAUUAAGAUCAUUUGUAUGCUAGUGUACUUAACUUUAACAGGUAUAAAUAAAAAAGUAAAUAAAUGCACUGCCAUUCAAAAGUUUGGGAUCAGUAACAUUUUUAAAGAAGUUCUUAUGCUCAUCAUGGCUGUGUUUUUAUGAUAAAAAAUACAGAAAAAAUUGAAAUAUUACAAUUUGAAUUAAAGGUAGGUUAUUCUAUUUAAAUAUACUUUCAAAUAUAAUUUAUUUCUGUGAUGUAAAGAUGAUUUUUCAGCAUCAUUACUCCAGUCUUCAGUGUCACAUGAUC
Carassius gibelio (silver crucian carp) is the source of this 1465-nucleotide long non-coding RNA. RefSeq lists it as uncharacterized. The record is from RefSeq and is a predicted model, not a curated record. Lineage: Eukaryota; Metazoa; Chordata; Actinopteri; Cypriniformes; Cyprinidae. The transcript has 3 exons.